GACGAACGCUGGCGGCGUGCUUAACACAUGCAAGUCGAACGGAAAGGCCUCUUUCGGGGGGUACUCGAGUGGCGAACGGGUGAGUAACACGUGAGUAACCUGCCCUUGACUUUGGGAUAACUUUAGGAAACUGGGGCUAAUACCGGAUAGGAGCUCCUGCUGCAUGGUGGGGGUUGGAAAGUUUCGGCGGUUGGGGAUGGACUCGCGGCUUAUCAGCUUGUUGGUGGGGUAGUGGCUUACCAAGGCUUUGACGGGUAGCCGGCCUGAGAGGGUGUCCGGCCACAAUGGGACUGGGAUACGGCCCAGACUCCUACGGGAGGCAGCAGUGGGGAAUAUUGCACAAUGGGUGGGAGCCUGAUGCAACAACGCCGUGUGCGGGAUGACGGCCUUCGGGUUGUAAACCGCUUUCGCUCAUGACGAAGCUUUGUGUGACGGUAGUGGGUAAAGAAGCACCGGCUAACUACGUG
Molecule: ribosomal RNA, 467 nt
Filed under: uncultured bacterium
Lineage: Bacteria
Description: partial 16S ribosomal RNA
Rfam family: Bacterial small subunit ribosomal RNA
Source: RNAcentral